This 173-nucleotide small RNA is filed under the name pig gut metagenome. Its description in RNAcentral is "Bacteroidales-1 6S-Bacteroidales RNA suggested". It matches the Rfam family "Bacteroidales-1 6S-Bacteroidales RNA suggested". The record is from RNAcentral.
AGUAGAUUGGGAAACUCGUCAAAUUUACGUGAAAUACCGAGACACUCUUGCCGCCCAAUGGCGGGCCCCAGCCGGUCGUAGAUCGGUAGACAUUGAUCCGGGGGAUUACAAAGGACGUCAAGAACUCAAAUCCUGUCUUAUCGGAGUUUCAUCGCAUCCUUUGAUGUGGGCUU